RNAcentral lists this ribosomal RNA (301 nucleotides) under uncultured bacterium. Its description in RNAcentral is "partial 16S ribosomal RNA". It matches the Rfam family "Bacterial small subunit ribosomal RNA", at positions 509 to 809 of the family's 1533-position model. The record is from RNAcentral.
CAGCCGCCGCGGGAAUACGAAGGGUGCAAGCGUUAAUCGGAAUUACUGGGCGUAAAGCGUGCGUAGGCGGUGAGUUAAGUCUGCUGUGAAAUCCCCGGGCUCAACCUGGGGAUGGCAGUGGAUACUGGCUCGCUAGAGUGUGUCAGAGGAUGGUGGAAUUCCCGGUGUAGCGGUGAAAUGCGUAGAGAUCGGGAGGAACAUCAGUGGCGAAGGCGGCCAUCUGGGACAACACUGACGCUGAGGCACGAAAGCGUGGGGAGCAAACAGGAUUAGAUACCCGAGUAGUCCCUGUCUCUUAUAA